UACGCGGGGGGACCAGGACUGGCGAGCUGCGGAGGGAUCAUUACCGAGUUUACAACUCCCAAACCCAAUGUGAACGUUACCAAACUGUUGCCUCGGCGGGAUCUCUGCCCCGGGUGCGUCGCAGCCCCGGACCAAGGCGCCCGCCGGAGGACCAACCAAAACUCUUAUUGUAUACCCCCUCGCGGGUUUUUUUAUAAUCUGAGCCUUCUCGGCGCCUCUCGUAGGCGUUUCGAAAAUGAAUCAAAACUUUCAACAACGGAUCUCUUGGUUCUGGCAUCGAUGAAGAACGCAGCGAAAUGCGAUAAGUAAUGUGAAUUGCAGAAUUCAGUGAAUCAUCGAAUCUUUGAACGCACAUUGCGCCCGCCAGUAUUCUGGCGGGCAUGCCUGUCCGAGCGUCAUUUCAACCCUCGAACCCCUCCGGGGGGUCGGCGUUGGGGAUCGGCCCUGCCUUGGCGGUGGCCGUCUCCGAAAUACAGUGGCGGUCUCGCCGCAGCCUCUCCUGCGCAGUAGUUUGCACACUCGCAUCGGGAGCGCGGCGCGUCCACAGCCGUUAAACACCCAACUUCUGAAAUGUUGACCUCGGAUCAGGUAGGAAUACCCGCUGAACUUAAGCAUAUCAAUAAGCGGAGGAAAAGAAACCAACAGGGAUUGCCCCUUUUACNGGCGGCCUUGGUGUAUUUUAAGGAAAAAAAAAAAGGGGUUUGAUAAAAUAGAGGGGGUGUUUUUGAUUAGUAAGAAUAAAAAAUAAUAGAAGGAUUGAGAGGAUAGGGGUGGGGGUGUUUGUUAUUNGNGAUAUUUGGGUAGUAUGNNGGAAGAAAGAAGGUUAGUGUGNUUGUUAUAGUGGAUAAUGUGGGUGGUNUAAAAGGUGAAAAGNGGGGGGGGAGNGGGGGGUUUGAGUNUUAGUGGUAAUAGUGNGGUANAAGAGGUUUUUAGGGNAUAUUAUUNAGGAAAAGGGGGGUUUUUUGUAUUANUGNGGGGGGGGGGGGAAAUUUNUAGGGGGGNGGUUAUUUUGGGAGAAGGNAANNNUGGGGGGUUAUUAAAUUGNGGAAAAUGAGUUUNAAGAAAAAAGGGGGUUUAAAANUUGAAANGGUGGUUUUUUAUGGUGGGUGAUUAUUGAUNGGGGUUGGGGUUUUNGUNNGGUUGGGGAGNNNUUNUUUUUGGGGGNUGUGGGGGGGGGGGNGGUGGGGUAUGUGGGGGGGGGGGGGGGGNNAAUAGNGGGGAGGGGGGGAGUGGAGAUAGNNGUNAUGUGGNGNAAAGUUGUGUAGAGGGGNNAUAAAUUGGAUGUGAGAUNUGGAGGUGAGUGUNGUUUGAUUAGUUAUUNUGAGGNUAGUGUGUGUGUUAAUUGNAUUANGUNNNGUGUGAG
This 1363-nucleotide unclassified non-coding RNA is filed under the name Trichoderma lixii. Its description in RNAcentral is "sequence contains 18S rRNA gene, ITS1, 5.8S rRNA gene, ITS2, 28S rRNA gene". The stretch from base 245 to 398 matches the Rfam family "5.8S ribosomal RNA". Lineage: Eukaryota; Fungi; Ascomycota; Sordariomycetes; Hypocreales; Hypocreaceae. The record is from RNAcentral.